RNAcentral lists this ribosomal RNA (588 nucleotides) under uncultured bacterium. Its description in RNAcentral is "bacterial SSU rRNA". It matches the Rfam family "Bacterial small subunit ribosomal RNA", at positions 338 to 916 of the family's 1533-position model. The record is from RNAcentral.
CCUACGGGAGGCAGCAGUGAGGAAUUUUGCGCAAUGGGGGAAACCCUGACGCAGCAACGCCGCGUGAGUGAUGAAGGCCUUCGGGUCGUAAAGCUCUGUCAAGUGGGAAGAACAUGCCUGAUGAUAAUACCAUCGGGCACCGACGGUACCACUGAAGGAAGCACCGGCUAACUCCGUGCCAGCAGCCGCGGUAAUACGGGGGGUGCAAGCGUUAUUCGGAAUCAUUGGGCGUAAAGGGCGCGUAGGCGGUCUUUUAAGUCAGAUGUGAAAGCCCUCGGCUUAACCGAGGAAGUGCAUUUGAUACUAAAAGACUUGAGUAUGGGAGAGGGAAGCGGAAUUCCUGGUGUAGCGGUGAAAUGCGUAGAUAUCAGGAGGAACACCGGUGGCGAAGGCGGCUUCCUGGACCAAUACUGACGCUGAGGCGCGAAGGCGUGGGGAGCAAACAGGAUUAGAUACCCUGGUAGUCCACGCAGUAAACUGUGAACACUAGGUGUAGCGGGUAUUGACCCCCGCUGUGCCGAAGCUAACGCAUUAAGUGUUCCGCCUGGGAAGUACGGCCGCAAGGUUAAAACUCAAAGGAAUUGACGG